GAUGAAGAACGUAGCGAAACGCGAUAAGUAAUGUGAAUUGCAGAAUCCAGUGAAUCAUCGAAUCUUUGAACGCACAUUGCGCCCGCCAGCAUUCUGGCGGGCAUGCCUGUUCGAGCGUCAUUUCAACCCUCGACCUCCCCUUGGGGAGGUCGGCGUUGGGGACCGGCAGCACACCGCCGGCCCUGAAAUGGAGUGGCGGCCCGUCCGCGGCGACCUCUGUGCAGUAAUACAGCUCGCACCGGGACCCCGACGCGGCCACGCCGUAAAACACCCAACUUCUGAACGUUGACCUCGAAUCAGGUAGGACUACCCGCUGAACUUAAGCAUAUCAAUAAGCGGAGGA
This 343-nucleotide unclassified non-coding RNA is filed under the name soil metagenome. Its description in RNAcentral is "partial contains 5.8S ribosomal RNA, internal transcribed spacer 2, and large subunit ribosomal RNA". The stretch from base 1 to 120 matches the Rfam family "5.8S ribosomal RNA", at positions 35 to 154 of the family's 154-position model. The record is from RNAcentral.